RNA transcript from Ictalurus furcatus (blue catfish), 2536 nucleotides. RefSeq lists it as uncharacterized. The record is from RefSeq and is a predicted model, not a curated record. NCBI's taxonomy places the organism in Eukaryota, Metazoa, Chordata, Actinopteri, Siluriformes, Ictaluridae. The transcript has 2 exons.
AUGAAAUAACAAAGGGAAAGCACGGGCACAGGAGGGGAGUGAGAGGGAGAGGGGGAUAUUCCACACAAUAUGAUUGCUUUAUGAAGGAGCUGAGGCCAGUCGAGAAGCAGUUGUCAAAAGGUUCAGGUCAUCUUGAUAUGCCAGCUAUAAUUGUACUGUUUUUGAACGUGAUGCGCUAUUUCACUGAUGUGUACUUUUAGCAGUGUUGAUUCUACUUCUCUGUGUGUGUCAGAUUCUGCUGCAUUUUUUGUUUUAUUUUUUGCUGAUUUAUGUGCUUAGCUUAAUUUUUGUUCUUAAUUUGAUCUGCUGAAUUUAUUGCACUUGGAUUGCAUUUCUGCACUACCCUUGAGCUUUGUAGUGUAUUUAACAAUCAUGUAUUUGUUUAGUGUAUAUUUAUUACAAGAAUAUUAUUGUUCUCACACAUUUGAAGCUUUUUUAAUUAUUGCUAGAAAAAAAUGCCCUCCUAACCGGCUGCAGUCGCACAUACCAGCCAAAAGAGGGCAACAUGAUUGCAGAAUUCCUCCACUUGCCCGAGCGCUCUUCUGGAUGGCAGGUUAAACGUGUAAGGUCCGCAUGCUUGGCAACAAAGGAGGCGAUUGUCACAUGUGUGAGAUCUCUUGUGCUGGAAUAAAGUUCUCCACAGUCAAGGUGUCCAUGAAAGGACCUUGCCCUUGUGGAAGCCAAAUAAAAACAAAGGAGACAUUAAAUGCACCUGUCUCCUGGAAAACAGACAUCUUCACUCAUCAUGCCCGCUGCCGAGAUCCUGAUGAUAAGAUUAUAAAAUGUCAUUCUAAAAAAAAAAGGGCAGUUUCUUUUUUUUUUUUUUGAGGAGUUAAUUGAAUUUAAAUCGCUUUGGUGAGUGGAAAAAAUGGAGUGGCAGGGAAUAGUCUUAAUCAUUUGAAUUGUAAACCAUCUUUAUAAAUGAGAAAUCGUCUUCACAGCUGAGAAGUAUUAUCAGAAUGGCAUAAAAGUGUCGUGUUUCUGUAUUGCUCAUAUUACUGCGUGAAAAUUACCGUAUGGGUUGAUAGAUAUGAUCAUAAAGAUGUGCUGAAUAAAUACAGACAUUCUCAGGUUGAUUUUUCAGUGUGUGUACAUGUUUGUAUGUCUUGAUGAGGACCAAAUGCCUGCACAAGAAUAGGAAUAUCUUACAUCUUUGGGGACAUUUGGCUCGUCCCUAUGAGGAAAACUGCAUUUUCUUUUACCAAAACUCUCAAAAGGUUUCUUUUUGGUUACUGAGGUUAGGAUUUGAUUUAGGUGUAGGCACUGCAUUAAUAAGCUGCAUUAAUAAUUAUGUCACUGGAAGGUCCUCCAAAGGCUAGUAUGGUAAACGUGUGUGUGUGUGUGUGUGUGUGUGUGUGUGUGUGUGUGUUAAAUGUACCUGUUACCGAGAUGCUGGUCUGAUUUGGCAGAAGCUGCUGGAGGAUCAGUGAGUGUGAGAGGAUCUUGUGCACUCCAGCGAAUAGCCGACAGAGGGAGGCCUCCUCAGAUACAUAACCAUGAAGCCAAAACUGAACACCAGAGCUUUUUCUACUUCACAGAGCGACAGCUAAGGCCAGCCAGUCACUGGAACCACAGGCUGAUGGACGGUUAAGCAGUUGGAGGGGUGCCAGCAGGGCUCAGACAGGUAGGAGCUACGCCAAGGCUGUUCCUCGACCAUCCAUCCUCCAGGAUGACACACCAGCGCCUGCUAGCUUCUAUUAUGGCUCCUUCUCUUCCUCUCCUGAAUAGAGCAAAUUUGAUUUGGCCUCUGCAAAAGCACUUUUCACCAAAUAAAAGCUCAUUACUGUGAUGGAAAAGUGGCAUUCAAGGUAAAGCUGGUUGGGUGAAGCGAGGACAACGUGAACAUGGUGAAAACACAGGGCUCACACUUGUUCAGUUAGUAUGAGUGUAUUCUGUUUUUCUCUUCUUGUCCAUGAACUUGUGCCUAGCCAUUUACAGAUUUAUAGUGCAAUAACAGGUUCUUGUACUGCUCUUGUACACUAUUAAGGACUUAAAGGAACACUUCAGUAUUUUCAACUUAAAUAGCUGGUGUGUGGCUGCCGUCACACCAUCCAGGUUGAUGCUACACGCUAGUGGUGGUUGAGGAGACACCCCCCAGCCCCCCUCCCCCCCCCAUCCUGUGUAAAGCACUUUGAGAGUCUAGAAGAGCACUAUAUAAAUGUAACAAAAAAAAAAUGUCUCUAUUCACUGCAUGUGUAUUCAACUCAAAUUAUAUGGAUUAAUACAAAUUUCAACAUAUUUCUCUGUACUGACGAAGAAAAGAAAACCUGUUUACCUGAAACUCACUUAUAAUGGAAGUCUAAGGGCAGUUGUUCUGGUAGUGAAUAACCCUUUAUGUGAAGCACUUUCAUGAAUUCAUCGGUCAAAGCUAUUCAUAAAUUCAGCUCCAUAUGUGUAUAAUUAAGCAUUUCAGAGAUUUUAUUUUUCGGUGAGAAGUACGUCAGAUGCCUCUUAGUUCUGUUCUCAGUACAGGGAGCUGGCUUGAAAUUAUUUUUGCAUAGUUAUCACAUCUACUAUGCAGAGAUUAUCAUUAAAA